GUUGUGGCUCAGGGGUAGAAUACUUGCCUCGCCCGCAUGAGUCCCUGGGUUCGAUCCUCAACACAACA
RNAcentral lists this transfer RNA (68 nucleotides) under Marmota monax (woodchuck). Its description in RNAcentral is "tRNA.Ala". The record is from RNAcentral. Lineage: Eukaryota; Metazoa; Chordata; Mammalia; Rodentia; Sciuridae.